UACAGAGGUCUCAAGCGUUGUUCGGAUUCAUUGGGCGUAAAGGGUGUGUAGGUGGCGCCGUAAGUCGGGUGUGAAAUUUCGGAGCUUAACUCCGAAACUGCAUUCGAUACUGCCGUGCUUGAGGACUGGAGAGGAGACUGGAAUUUACGGUGUAGCGGCGAAAUGCGUAGAUAUCGUAAGGAAGACCAGUGGCGAAGGCGGAUCUCUGGACAGUUCCUGACGCUGAGGCACGAAGGUCAGGGGAGCAAACGGG
This 253-nucleotide ribosomal RNA is filed under the name uncultured bacterium. RNAcentral's name for it is "partial 16S ribosomal RNA". It matches the Rfam family "Bacterial small subunit ribosomal RNA", at positions 524 to 776 of the family's 1533-position model. The record is from RNAcentral.